RNAcentral lists this ribosomal RNA (397 nucleotides) under uncultured bacterium. RNAcentral's name for it is "partial 16S ribosomal RNA". It matches the Rfam family "Bacterial small subunit ribosomal RNA", at positions 523 to 918 of the family's 1533-position model. The record is from RNAcentral.
AUACGUAGGUGACAAGCGUUAUCCGGAUUUACUGGGCGUAAAGGGCGUGUAGGCGGUCUUGCAAGUCAGAAGUGAAAUUCCUGAGCUCAACUCGGGCGCUGCUUCUGAAACUGCAGGACUUGAGUGCUGGAGGGGAUAGCGGAAUUCCUAGUGGAGCGGUAAAAUGCGCAGAUAUUAGGAAGAACACCGGUGGCGAAGGCGGAUAUCUGGACAGUAACUGACGCUGAGGCGCGAAAGCGUGGGGAGCAAACAGGAUUAGAUACCCGGGUAGUCCACGCCGUAAACGAUGAAUACUAGGUGUAGGGGGUAUCGACUCCCUCUGUGCCGCAGUUAACACAAUAAGUAUUCCGCCUGGGGAGUACGGCCGCAAGGUUGAAACUCAAAGGAAUUGACGGGG